GAUGAAGAACGUAGUGAAAUGCGAUACGUAAUGUGAAUUGCAGAAUUCAGUGAAUCAUCGAAUCUUUGAACGCACAUUGCGCCCGCCAGUAUUCUGGCGGGCAUGCCUGUUCGAGCGUCAUUUCAACCCUCAAGCACAGCUUGGUGUUGGGACUCGCGUUAAUUCGCGUUCCUCAAAUUGAUUGGCGGUCACGUCGAGCUUCCAUAGCGUAGUAGUAAAACCCUCGUUACUGGUAAUCGUCGCGGCCACGCCGUUAAACCCCAACUUCUGAAUGUUGACCUCGGAUCAGGUAGGAAUACCCGCUGAACUUAAGCAUAUCAAUAAGCGGAGGA
RNAcentral lists this unclassified non-coding RNA (332 nucleotides) under soil metagenome. Its description in RNAcentral is "partial contains 5.8S ribosomal RNA, internal transcribed spacer 2, and large subunit ribosomal RNA". The stretch from base 1 to 120 matches the Rfam family "5.8S ribosomal RNA", at positions 35 to 154 of the family's 154-position model. The record is from RNAcentral.